GCGGGUAUCGUAUAGCGGUAGUACGCGACCUUCCCAAGGUUGAAGUACGGGUCCGACUCCCGUUACCCGCU
Molecule: transfer RNA, 71 nt
Filed under: Candidatus Kerfeldbacteria bacterium RIFCSPLOWO2_01_FULL_48_11
Lineage: Bacteria; Candidatus Kerfeldiibacteriota
Also listed under: 1 other name
Description: tRNA-Gly
Rfam family: tRNA
About the family: Transfer RNA (tRNA) molecules are approximately 80 nucleotides in length. Their secondary structure includes four short double-helical elements and three loops (D, anti-codon, and T loops).
Source: RNAcentral